This 1014-nucleotide long non-coding RNA is filed under the name Homo sapiens (human). Its description in RNAcentral is "HSALNT0169032". The record is from RNAcentral. Lineage: Eukaryota; Metazoa; Chordata; Mammalia; Primates; Hominidae.
GGUGCAGAUUAAAUGCCCAAGAAUACAGACUCCGUGGGUGUUUGAGGCGUGCCCCCUCUGGAGUCUCUCUGGCACCACUGGUCUCUCUGCACCUGCAUCAGGGUUAACCCUCUCCUGUGGUUAAUUCUGCUUGGUAGUGUCCUCUGGAGCUCUGAGUUACACCAGGGGUGUACUUAGGUACUCCCCAGGUCUUUGUGGAAACUCCAAAGAAAACAAAUCCACCUUGAGCAAGGCCCUGCUUCUCCCUGCCUUCCCUUACUGAUUGUACAGCUGAAAUUACAAACUGUUCUAAUUGGGGUUCUUCCAAAAGCCUACCCUGAGACAAGCAUUUGAGUGCAGGUUGGUUUAUUUGGGAGUUAAUAUCAGGAGUCACUAGUGAGGAAGCAGGGAAGAUGAGACAGGGAAGGGAGAUGAGCCCACAGAGUGUGUUAAUGAGUGGGCAUCCCUGUGCAACAGGGCUCAGUCCCAGGAACUCUCUGCAGAACCUCUGAAAGAACAUGCCGGCAGAGAAUGGGGAGGCUGGGCCAUUUGUCCUCCAGUUCUACCUUCCUUUGAUUGAGGGCUGUUCUGGGGAGGGGUGGUAGUGACAUUAGGCACUUCACUCUUCUGGGUUGUGCCUGCUUGCACUGGAGCCAGCUCCUGUGGGUGCUUGCAGUGGUGAGCUGUCUGCAUGCUAGAAAGUCCCGCAGCUACAGGUGAGCUCAGGUGGGCCAGGGAGAUGCAGGGUCAAGAUGAACAUCUAUCUGUCUUCUCUACAGCCUGUGCCUGAGCCACUAACCCAUCUUAGCCACUUCUUAGGGACGAGAUCUUGGAAAAAGAUAGCCUGGCACAGCCUUGUUUUUCUCAUCCGUAAUCACAUAGGGUGUGAAGGGAGGAGAGAGGAUGGGAAGAGCUUGAUCUGCUCCUGGUGCUGUGGCUUUCAGCUUUGGAUGCUGCUUAGAACACAGGAAGCAUCUGAAAAUACCAACACCCAGGCUGUUCACAGGCCAACGGCCCCAGAGGCUUCAGGGAUGG